GGCGUUUUAGACGUGGUGGUGGUGUGGCCUACAAACUGAGCAGAGGGAGGGUAGCUAACAGAUUAGUGUGUGAAAACGACCUCAAACUGUUCGAUGAAAUUCCUGAACGAGUUCCUGUAUCGCCAGGCCAUGCCUAGCUAAUGGGCCUGGUAGAAACUGCAGUUUUAACCAAGACAACCAGAAUUGCAUAUGUUCAGGUUAUGUUCUCAUCAACAUGAAUUGCUUUCUGUACUAUUUACAUUUUAGAAAACAAUAAUAGAGAAAAAUGUUAAUAAAAAAAAGAUGGAAAAAAAAUGUGCCUAUUGAGAAGCAACUGAGGAGAAGGAAGAACAAGAUGAUGAAGAAGAUAGGGGUGGUGAGUGAUAACAAGUACAUUUCAGGUCAUGAAUGGCCCGUUUCCUUGUGAGAUCGAGUUUUGUACAGAAAACACAGAACCGUCCUUCAAGAUCAUCUUCACUUUCCUCAUAGUCAGCAUCUGUGCUAUCUUCUUCAAAAUUUUCCUCAGCUGCAAUUCUCCAAUCAUUACUUGUGUAGUACACCAAUCCCAACAUUGGAAGAAGAACCAUCAGAAUUUUAUCUAUACGAUCAUCAUACCAUUUGUUUAACUUCUUCCAGAACAUUAAAGGUGCAACAACAGCUGCUGCUCCUACCCCAAACCCCAUGCCAGGGACUAUGAACUGCCAAUCAACUCCAUUCCUUUUUUUGAUGGUUUGUCCAGCGGGUGCUAAUGAAUUGGUAUGUGAGCAAGAUUUUGACAACUGAGGCCCACAUAA
This 773-nucleotide unclassified non-coding RNA is filed under the name Hevea brasiliensis (rubber tree). The record is from RNAcentral. Lineage: Eukaryota; Viridiplantae; Streptophyta; Magnoliopsida; Malpighiales; Euphorbiaceae.